Malaclemys terrapin pileata is the source of this 336-nucleotide long non-coding RNA. RefSeq lists it as uncharacterized. Lineage: Eukaryota; Metazoa; Chordata; Testudines; Emydidae. The record is from RefSeq and is a predicted model, not a curated record. The transcript has 3 exons.
AUAAAGUAUACUAAAGUGAGAAUGAAAAGAAUGAAUACAGAUGAAAUUAAAAAGGCUGACAUUAAGUUUUAUGUUGUUUGCAGUAUUGUACCUGUGUUUGUCCCAGGAUAGUCAAGUGAAUGUUUUUGCUGGGAGUAGAAUGAGAACCAAAGAACAGUGAGGAAGACCAUCAAAAAAAUUCAGGAGACUUGAUUCAGGGCUGACUGGGGGACCUACUGCAUCACCACCACAACUUCCUUCAGCACCUGAAUUCUCCUUGGGAUGUUUCCACAUCCAGGUACUUACAUGGCCAAGUCAGUUCAAUAUGUGAAAUUUGACUGUGUUCACCGAUUGAAG